Molecule: long non-coding RNA, 746 nt
Organism: Corvus hawaiiensis (hawaiian crow)
Lineage: Eukaryota; Metazoa; Chordata; Aves; Passeriformes; Corvidae
Exons: 2
Source: RefSeq, a predicted model, not a curated record
CGAGCCCAAAUUUGGGUCAAAAAUCAACAAAAGAGAGCAAAUUAUUCCGGGUUUGGUUCCAAAAUGGUCCAAAAAUGGCAAAAAGGAGCCCAAAUUUGGGUGAAAAGUGUCCAGAAAGAGCCAAAAGGAGCCAAAAUUUGGGUCAGAAUAUGGGAAAAGAGCCAAAAAUAGUCCGGAUUUGGGUCCAAAAUGCCCAAAAAAGGCCAAAAUUAAUCCAGAUUUGGGUCAAAAAAUGCCCCAAAAAAGCCAAAAUUAAUCCAGAUUUGGGUCCAAAAUGGCUGAAAAAAGCCAGAAUUAGUCCAGAUUUGGGGCAAAAACCGAAAGUUUGAGUGAAAAAUGCAAAUUUUGGGGUUGAAAUGGGUCAGGAAAGCGGAAAAGGCCAAAAAUAGCUCCGGGUUUUGGGGGGAAAUGGGCAAAAAGAGGCAAAAAAGAGACAAAAGGAGGCGAAAUUUGGGGCAAAAGUGGGAAAAGAGACAGAAUUUGGAUCAAAAAACGGCCAAAAGAGAUAAAAUUAAUCCAGAUUUGGGUCCAAAAUGGGCGAAAAAGGGUCGAAAUUAAUCCAGAUUUGGGUCCAAAAUGGAAAAAUGAGCCAAAACCAGUCCAGAUUUGGGUCCAAAAUGGGCAAAAAAGGGUCAAAAUUAAUCCAGAUUUGGGAUAAAAUGGGCAAAAAGGGCCAAAUGAGCCCAAUUUUGGGCAAAAGCUGGAGGAAAAGCGCCAAAAUCAGUCCAGAUUUGGGUCCAAAAUGG